GUGCAGGCGCAGUUGGCAAAGCUCCCGAAGAAUCUUUUGGCGAAAGCUUCUCUGACUAAGGCCACUGGACAAGUAUGCGUUGGCGCAGCUUCCUCAAGUGAUUUCAUCUCUGGACGCUCAUAUAGAAAGUGGAUUGCACAGCGGUGUUCAUUUGAACACAGUAACUC
Camelina sativa (false flax) is the source of this 167-nucleotide non-coding RNA. Lineage: Eukaryota; Viridiplantae; Streptophyta; Magnoliopsida; Brassicales; Brassicaceae. The record is from RefSeq and is a predicted model, not a curated record.